RNAcentral lists this long non-coding RNA (285 nucleotides) under Pan troglodytes (chimpanzee). Its description in RNAcentral is "long non-coding RNA NONPTRT000600". Lineage: Eukaryota; Metazoa; Chordata; Mammalia; Primates; Hominidae. The record is from RNAcentral.
CUGCUAAGGUAUUUCUUGUGUAGAAUAUCAUUUGGGCUAGGAGGAGGUAGAAAUAAAGAUAGAAAUCUACACAGAUGAUGAUAUUUUAAAAUUUGAUAAAAUAGGAUUUAAGUCUAUACUCAAAUGUUCCCAGCAUGAAGCCAACAUAAACUUGCCUGAGUAUUAUUCAACCUGAAACAUAGUCUACCUUUUUAAGUUAACUCCAACUGGCUUUUCUUAAGUAACAAAUGUCAUCAUUUGCUGUCCAAGUAAUUUUCAAUACAAUGCUCAUUUGAUGUUGCCUCU